This 440-nucleotide ribosomal RNA is filed under the name uncultured bacterium. RNAcentral's name for it is "partial 16S ribosomal RNA". It matches the Rfam family "Bacterial small subunit ribosomal RNA", at positions 339 to 795 of the family's 1533-position model. The record is from RNAcentral.
CUACGGGUUGCUGCAGUGAGGAAUAUUGCACAAUGGGGGGAACCCUGAUGCAGCAACGCCGCGUGGAGGAUGACGCAUUUCGGUGUGUAAACUCCUUUUAUAUGUCAAGAAAAUGACGGUAGCAUAUGAAUAAGCACCGGCUAACUCCGUGCCAGCAGCCGGCGGUAAUACGGAGGGUGCAAGCGUUACUCGGAAUCACUGGGCGUAAAGGACGCGUAGGCGGGUUGGAAAGUCAGGUGUGAAAUCCUACAGCUUAACUGUAGAACUGCACUUGAAACUUCUAAUCUAGAGUAUGGGAGGGGGAGAUGGAAUUAGUGGUGUAGGGGUAAAAUCCGUAGAUAUCACUAGGAAUACCUAAAGCGAAGGCGAUCUCCUGGAACAUUACUGACGCUAAGGCGUGAAAGCGUGGGGAGCAAACAGGAUUAGAUACCCUGGUAGUC